Molecule: ribosomal RNA, 252 nt
Filed under: uncultured bacterium
Lineage: Bacteria
Description: partial 16S ribosomal RNA
Rfam family: Bacterial small subunit ribosomal RNA
Source: RNAcentral
UACGGGGGGGCAAGCGUUGUUCGGAAUUACUGGGCGUAAAGCGUGCGCAGGCGGUGAUGUAAGACAGUUGUGAAAUCCCCGGGCUCAACCUGGGAACUGCAUCUGUGACUGCAUCGCUGGAGUGCGGCAGAGGGGGAUGGAAUUCCGCGUGUAGCAGUGAAAUGCGUAGAUAUGCGGAGGAACACCGAUGGCGAAGGCAAUCCCCUGGGCCUGCACUGACGCUCAUGCACGAAAGCGUGGGGAGCAAACAGG